RNAcentral lists this ribosomal RNA (253 nucleotides) under uncultured bacterium. RNAcentral describes it as "partial 16S ribosomal RNA". It matches the Rfam family "Bacterial small subunit ribosomal RNA", at positions 524 to 776 of the family's 1533-position model. The record is from RNAcentral.
GACGAACCGAGCGAACGUUGUUCGGAAUCACUGGGCUUAAAGGGCGCGUAGGCGGGUGCUCAAGUCUGUGGUGAAAUCCUCCGGCUCAACCGGAGAACUGCCAUGGAUACUGGGCGUCUCGAGUGUGGUAGGGGUAUGCGGAACUAUCGGUGGAGCGGUGAAAUGCGUUGAUAUCGAUAGGAACUCCGGUGGCGAAGGCGGCAUACUGGACCACCACUGACGCUGAUGCGCGAAAGCCAGGGGAGCAAACGGG